UAAUACGGAGGAUGCGAGCGUUAUCCGGAAUCAUUGGGUUUAAAGGGUCCGUAGGCGGUCUUAUAAGUCAGUGGUGAAAUCUCCUAGCUCAACUAGGAAACUGCCAUUGAUACUGUAGGACUUGAAUUUUUGUGAAGUAACUAGAAUAUGUAGUGUAGCGGUGAAAUGCUUAGAUAUUACAUGGAAUACCAAUUGCGAAGGCAGGUUACUAACAAACGAUUGACGCUGAUGGACGAAAGCGUGGGGAGCGAACAGGAUUAGAUACCCUGGUAGUCCACGCUGUAAACGAUGGAUACUAGCUGUUUGACGCAAGUUGAGUGGCUAAGCGAAAGUGAUAAGUAUCCCACCUGGGGAGUACGCACGCAAGUGUG
This 371-nucleotide ribosomal RNA is filed under the name uncultured bacterium. RNAcentral describes it as "bacterial SSU rRNA". It matches the Rfam family "Bacterial small subunit ribosomal RNA", at positions 521 to 896 of the family's 1533-position model. The record is from RNAcentral.